RNAcentral lists this ribosomal RNA (253 nucleotides) under uncultured bacterium. RNAcentral's name for it is "partial 16S ribosomal RNA". It matches the Rfam family "Bacterial small subunit ribosomal RNA", at positions 524 to 776 of the family's 1533-position model. The record is from RNAcentral.
UACGUAGGGACCGAGCGUUGUCCGGAUUCAUUGGGCGUAAAGAGCUCGUAGGCGGUUUGUCGCGUCGAAUGUGAAAACCCGGGGCUCAACCCCGGGCCUGCAUUCGAUACGGGCAGACUAGAGUUCGGUAGGGGAGUCUGGAAUUCCUGGUGUAGCGGUGAAAUGCGCAGAUAUCAGGAGGAACACCGGUGGCGAAGGCGGGUCUCUGGGCCGAUACUGACGCUGAGGAGCGAAAGCGUGGGGAGCAAACAGG